AUACGGAGGGUGCGAGCGUCAAUCGGAAUUACUGGGCGUAAAGCGUACGUAGGCGGUUGGUUAAGUUAGAUGUGAAAGCCCCGGGCUUAACCUGGGAACUGCAUUUAAAACUGGCGAACUAGAGUUGAGUAGAGGGGAGUGGAAUUUCAGGUGUAGCGGUGAAAUGCGUAGAGAUCUGAAGGAACACCAGUGGCGAAGGCGACUCCCUGGACUCGAACUGACGCUGAGGUACGAAAGCGUGGGGAGCAAACAGGAUUAGAAACCCUAGUAGUCC
RNAcentral lists this ribosomal RNA (274 nucleotides) under uncultured bacterium. RNAcentral describes it as "partial 16S ribosomal RNA". It matches the Rfam family "Bacterial small subunit ribosomal RNA", at positions 523 to 796 of the family's 1533-position model. The record is from RNAcentral.